CAGAUCGCUUCUCGGCCUUUUGGCUAAGAUCACGUAUCUUGUCGGACGGUUGAGACUGCGAUCGCCUCUUGGAGGUUUCCUGACUCGAGAUCUUUUUAUAUCUUGAGUCACACAACUUCGAGAGGUACAUUGAACUCUGCUGCUUCGGGCUCCAACAAGUUUUAAGGUACAAGAAAAUGGAGGAGCUAUGGUCCGCAGGAGCCUCCAUAUGGAGCGGAUCAAAUUUUAACAAAAAUGAUGGAGUUGCGGUUUUAAUUAAUAAUCCUAACAUCUUGGUGAAGGGCAGCACUGUGCCCCCCUCGGCGGUUCCUGGUGAAACUGGAGAGGGCGGUGUUUUACUUCCUGUGGGGGUCCAAGUGGGAGCGCCUGAAGAGGGAGACAGUCAAGAAAAGGCCAGAGAACGGUGGAAAAGGCCUCCCAGACCCCCACCUGUUUUUAGGCAGCCGCUUCACCGCCCUGCACAUCAGUUAUGCCAUGACCUCAUCCAAAGAAAACAAGACGGCUGCAAUGGCGCGCUUUUGGAUGGGGUCUU
Molecule: long non-coding RNA, 532 nt
Organism: Carassius carassius (crucian carp)
Lineage: Eukaryota; Metazoa; Chordata; Actinopteri; Cypriniformes; Cyprinidae
Exons: 3
Source: RefSeq, a predicted model, not a curated record